GGUCGGUGAUGAUUGGUAAAAGGUCUGAUUGCACUUAAUGUCACAGUCCCUUCCUUGCCCUCAGCUCCCAGCAGCCCAUUCUUUUCCUCCUGUCACAUUUAAGGCAUGUGUAUGGGAUAAUGGAGCAGCUGAUAAUUUGGGAUUCUGUCCGUGUGUGUUUCUGAGAGCAAAAGUUGCACAGCUGAUGAGGAUCCAACAAAACCAGUUAUGCAGGAGGUUCACGAGGGUCAGUCAUGGGCUAUGACAGUGCAUGAUCUCAAGUUUUCAAUCUGAGACC
Choloepus hoffmanni (Hoffmann's two-fingered sloth) is the source of this 277-nucleotide small nucleolar RNA. Lineage: Eukaryota; Metazoa; Chordata; Mammalia; Pilosa; Megalonychidae. The record is from Ensembl.